UCGAACGGCAGCACAGCCCGCAAGGGUGGGUGGCGAGUGGCGGACGGGUGAGGAAUACAUCGGAAUCUACCCUGUCGUGGGGGAUAACCAGCCGAAAGGUUGGCUAAUACCGCAUACGACCGAGAGGUGAAAGCGGAGGACUCGCAAGGGCUUCGCGCGAUUGGAUGAGCCGAUGUCGGAUUAGCUAGUUGGCGGGGUAAAGGCCCACCAAGGCGACGAUCCGUAGCUGGUCUGAGAGGAUGAUCAGCCACACUGGGACUGAGACACGGCCCAGACUCCUACGGGAGGCAGCAGUGGGGAAUAUUGGACAAUGGGCGCAAGCCUGAUCCAGCAAUGCCGCGUGUGUGAAGAAGGCCUUCGGGUUGUAAAGCACUUUUAUCAGGAACGAAAAGUUCUCGGUUAAUACCCGGGAAUGCUGACGGUACCUGAGGAAUAAGCACCGGCUAACUUCGUGCCAGCAGCCGCGGUAAUACGAAGGGUGCAAGCGUUA
RNAcentral lists this ribosomal RNA (490 nucleotides) under uncultured bacterium. Its description in RNAcentral is "bacterial SSU rRNA". It matches the Rfam family "Bacterial small subunit ribosomal RNA", at positions 62 to 543 of the family's 1533-position model. The record is from RNAcentral.